Molecule: ribosomal RNA, 430 nt
Filed under: uncultured Spirochaetaceae bacterium
Lineage: Bacteria; Pseudomonadati; Spirochaetota; Spirochaetia; Spirochaetales; Spirochaetaceae
Description: bacterial SSU rRNA
Rfam family: Bacterial small subunit ribosomal RNA
Source: RNAcentral
CGAAGAAUCUUCCGCAAUGGGGGAAACCCUGACGGAGCGACGCCGCGUGGGCGAUGAAGGUCGUAAGAUUGUAAAGCCCUUUUAUCGGUGAAGAAUAAGCGGGGGAGUGGAAAGCCCUCGUGAUGACGUUAGCCGAUGAAUAAGCCCCGGCCAAUUACGUGCCAGCAGCCGCGGUAAUACGUAUGGGGCAAGCGUUGUUCGGAGUUAUUGGGCGUAAAGGGCGUGUAGGCGGUUUAUCAAGUCUGGUGUGAAAUAUCUGGGCUUAACCCAGGGGAUGCGCUGGAAACUGGUAGACUUGAGUUCCGGAGGGGAAGCUGGAAUUCCAGGUGUAGGGGUGAAAUCUGUAGAUAUCUGGAAGAACACCGGUGGCGAAGGCGAGCUUCUAUCCGAGGACUGACGCUGAGGCGCGAAAGCGUGGGGAGCAAACAGG